UACGUAGGGGGCAAGCGUUAUCCGGAUUUACUGGGUGUAAAGGGAGCGUAGACGGAAUUGCAAGUCUGAUGUGAAAAUCCGGGGCCCAACCCCGGAACUGCAUUGGAAACUGUAUUUCUAGAGUGUCGGAGAGGCAAGUGGAAUUCCUGGUGUAGCGGUGAAAUGCGUAGAUAUCAGGAGGAACACCAGUGGCGAAGGCGGCUUGCUGGACGAUGACUGACGUUGAGGCUCGAAAGCGUGGGUAGCAAACAGG
RNAcentral lists this ribosomal RNA (253 nucleotides) under uncultured bacterium. RNAcentral describes it as "partial 16S ribosomal RNA". It matches the Rfam family "Bacterial small subunit ribosomal RNA", at positions 524 to 776 of the family's 1533-position model. The record is from RNAcentral.